GACGAACGCUGGCGGCGUGCUUAACACAUGCAAGUCGAACGGAAAGGCCCUGCUUUUGUGGGGUGCUCGAGUGGCGAACGGGUGAGUAACACGUGAGUAACCUGCCCUUGACUUUGGGAUAACUUCAGGAAACUGGGGCUAAUACCGGAUAGGAGCUCCUGCUGCAUGGUGGGGGUUGGAAAGUUUCGGCGGUUGGGGAUGGACUCGCGGCUUAUCAGCUUGUUGGUGGGGUAGUGGCUUACCAAGGCUUUGACGGGUAGCCGGCCUGAGAGGGUGACCGGCCCAUUGGGGCUGGGAAUACGGACCCGAAGACACGGGGGGGGAGCAGGGGAAAGUAGUGCAGAAGGGGCGGAAGCCCGAUGGAGCAACGCGGCGGGGGGGAGGACGGCUGGCAGGUUGAAACCCGCUUUCCGGUGUGGGGAAGGGGGGGGGACGAGAAGGGGAAAAGAAGCACCGGCAAAACACGGGCAAGCAGCGGGGGGAAUGGAGGGAAGGGCACAGGUUGAUG
Molecule: ribosomal RNA, 508 nt
Filed under: uncultured bacterium
Lineage: Bacteria
Description: partial 16S ribosomal RNA
Rfam family: Bacterial small subunit ribosomal RNA (bases 12-374)
Source: RNAcentral